UGGUGGGUAGUUUGACUGGGGCGGUCUCCUCCUAAAGAGUAACGGAGGAGCACGAAGGUUGGCUAAUCCUGGUCGGACAUCAGGAGGUUAGUGCAAUGGCAUAAGCCAGCUUGACUGCGAGCGUGACGGCGCGAGCAGGUGCGAAAGCAGGUCAUAGUGAUCCGGUGGUUCUGAAUGGAAGGGCCAUCGCUCAACGGAUAAAAGGUACUCCGGGGAUAACAGGCUGAUACCGCCCAAGAGUUCAUAUCGACGGCGGUGUUUGGCACCUCGAUGUCGGCUCAUCACAUCCUGGGGCUGAAGUAGGUCCCAAGGGUAUGGCUGUUCGCCAUUUAAAGUGGUACGCGAGCUGGGUUUAGAACGUCGUGAGACAGUUCGGUCCCUAUCUGCCGUGGGCGCUGGAGAACUGAGGGGGGCUGCUCCUAGUACGAGAGGACCGGAGUGGACGCAUCACUGGUGUUCGGGUUGUCAUGCCAAUGGCACUGCCCGGUAGCUAAAUGCGGAAGAGAUAAGUGCUGAAAGCAUCUAAGCACGAAACUUGCCCCGAGAUGAGUUCUCCCUGACCCUUUAAGGGUCCUGAAGGAACGUUGAAGACGACGACGUUGAUAGGCCGGGUGUGUAAGCGCAGCGAUGCGUUGAGCUAACCGGUACUAAUGAACCGUGAGGCUUAACCUUA
RNAcentral lists this ribosomal RNA (673 nucleotides) under Escherichia coli. RNAcentral's name for it is "partial 23S ribosomal RNA". It matches the Rfam family "Bacterial large subunit ribosomal RNA", at positions 2259 to 2925 of the family's 2925-position model. The record is from RNAcentral. Lineage: Bacteria; Pseudomonadati; Pseudomonadota; Gammaproteobacteria; Enterobacterales; Enterobacteriaceae.